RNAcentral lists this transfer RNA (71 nucleotides) under Clathrina clathrus. RNAcentral's name for it is "tRNA-His". It matches the Rfam family "tRNA". Rfam says of the family: Transfer RNA (tRNA) molecules are approximately 80 nucleotides in length. Their secondary structure includes four short double-helical elements and three loops (D, anti-codon, and T loops). The record is from RNAcentral. Lineage: Eukaryota; Metazoa; Porifera; Calcarea; Clathrinida; Clathrinidae.
GCUUCAUUAGUUUAAGGGUAGAACGUGUAUUUGUGGCAUACACAGUAUCAGUUCGAGUCUGGUGUUGGAGA